Non-coding RNA from Hordeum vulgare subsp. vulgare (domesticated barley), 136 nucleotides. The record is from Rfam. NCBI's taxonomy places the organism in Eukaryota, Viridiplantae, Streptophyta, Magnoliopsida, Poales, Poaceae.
CUUAUACCUCCUCCGUCUUAAAAAAUUUGUCUUAUCUUUGUUUAGAAAUAGAUGUAUCUAAAUACUAAAACUUGGUUAGAUACAUUCAUAUAUAAACAAACCUAAAACAAAAAUUUUGGGACGAAGGGAGUAUUUG